This 439-nucleotide ribosomal RNA is filed under the name uncultured bacterium. RNAcentral describes it as "partial 16S ribosomal RNA". It matches the Rfam family "Bacterial small subunit ribosomal RNA", at positions 339 to 795 of the family's 1533-position model. The record is from RNAcentral.
CUGCGGGUUGCUGCAGUGGGGAAUAUUGCACAAUGGGCGAAAGCCUGAUGCAGCAACGCCGCGUGGAGGAUGACACAUUUCGGUGCGUAAACUCCUUUUAUAUAAGAAGAUAAUGACGGUAUUAUAUGAAUAAGCACCGGCUAACUCCGUGCCAGCAGCCGCGGUAAUACGGGGGGUGCAAGCGUUACUCGGAAUCACUGGGCGUAAAGAGCAUGUAGGCGGGAUGACAAGUUGGAAGUGAAAUCCUAUGGCUUAACCAUAGAACUGCUUCCAAAACUGUCUUCCUAGAGUAUGGGAGAGGUAGAUGGAAUUUCUGGUGUAGGGGUAAAAUCCGUAGAGAUCAGAAGGAAUACCGAUUGCGAAGGCGAUCUACUGGAACAUUACUGACGCUCAGAUGCGAAAGCGUGGGGAGCAAACAGGAUUAGAUACCCUAGUAGUC